RNAcentral lists this non-coding RNA (29 nucleotides) under Mus musculus (house mouse). Lineage: Eukaryota; Metazoa; Chordata; Mammalia; Rodentia; Muridae. The record is from RNAcentral.
UGGAGAUGGCCACUCUCGGUGUUAAGGGU